CAGAGUCCACCAUGAAUUUUUUCGCUUGAAAGCGCAACAGAAACCUAAUGGAAACUCGAUAAAGCUUCACAUCUCUUAAUUUUGCGCAGGGUUUAAUUUUUCAAACAACAUCAGGUUGAUUUCUCAAUUUGGUGCGGUUAUUAGGGUUCAUCAGGUUGAUUUCUCAAUUUGGCGCGGUUAUUAGGGUUUGAUUUUACAAACUUCAUCAGGUUCUUCAUCCCUCUCAGUAUAGCACAUGUAGUUAGAUUGGUUGCAAUAAUGAUUAUUGGUAGAGGUUGCAUUCAUCAGAAGUUCUGCAACUGGUUCUAAGGUGAUGGCCUUUGCAUCUCAAUUGGUUAAGUUAUGUUAUAGCUUUACCUUGGAAUUAUGUUAAGUUUUUUUAUAUUUUUUGAGCCUUCUCAUUUGGUAUGUGACUGUGUAGCAUCCUGUCUCUAUGGAACUUGGUGGUAAAAUUCCAAUUGUAGGUUUUUGAAGUUACAGAUCUUGAUAAAGCUGCCGAGAUGACUAUUUUUGGUUGCUUUUGGACAAAUAGCCAAAUCUAUAGUGCAACACCUCCCCUUCUACUGCAUUUUCUGUGCUUAGGGCCUGCAGUGGUGUACUAAGAUUCGUCAUGGAAAGUGGUAACAAGGGUUGUUAGGUUGUUUGCUUAACUAUAGAGUUCUCUUGAUAUCUUGGUUACUUUGGAGCGUACACCUUAGUGAGAGGCAUGAUAGUCUCAAAGCAUUUUUUAUAUGUUUCUUUUGGUUUGGCAUCAGCUCUACAGUUUUAACAUUUCAAUUCUUGCCUGUCACACGUUGUCGGAACAUCGUCUAUUGGUUUAUCAAUUAGUUUAGCA
Long non-coding RNA from Papaver somniferum (opium poppy), 835 nucleotides. RefSeq lists it as uncharacterized. NCBI's taxonomy places the organism in Eukaryota, Viridiplantae, Streptophyta, Magnoliopsida, Ranunculales, Papaveraceae. The transcript is spliced from 8 exons. The record is from RefSeq and is a predicted model, not a curated record.